CAGUAGCCACGGUAAAACGAAGGGGGCUAGCGUUGCUCGGAAUGACUGGGCGUAAAGGGCGCGUAGGCGGCGAUCAAAGUCAGGCGUGAAAUUCCUGGGCUCAACCUGGGGGCUGCGUUUGAUACUUGAUUGCUAGAGUGGGGAAGAGGGUCGUGGAAUUCCCGGUGUAGCGGUGAAAUGCGUAGAGAUCGGGAGGAACAUCGAUGGCGAAGGCAGCCCCCUGGGCCAACACUGACGCUCAUGCACGAAAGCGUGGGGAGCAAACAGGAUUAGAUACCGCGUAGUCCCUGUCUCUUAUACA
RNAcentral lists this ribosomal RNA (301 nucleotides) under uncultured bacterium. RNAcentral describes it as "partial 16S ribosomal RNA". It matches the Rfam family "Bacterial small subunit ribosomal RNA", at positions 509 to 808 of the family's 1533-position model. The record is from RNAcentral.